GAGGAUUUUGGCGUAGAGGGACGUGGGGGAUUUUACGAAUCCGCAGGUUGCCUGCGCGACGUGGUUCAAAACCACAUUUUCCA
RNAcentral lists this transfer RNA (83 nucleotides) under Nitrosospira sp. NRS527. RNAcentral's name for it is "tRNA-Val". The record is from RNAcentral. Lineage: Bacteria; Pseudomonadati; Pseudomonadota; Betaproteobacteria; Nitrosomonadales; Nitrosomonadaceae.